UUGACGGUGUCUUUUACUUUG
This 21-nucleotide unclassified non-coding RNA is filed under the name Mus musculus (house mouse). Its description in RNAcentral is "oocyte_clustered_small_RNA11645". Lineage: Eukaryota; Metazoa; Chordata; Mammalia; Rodentia; Muridae. The record is from RNAcentral.